This 481-nucleotide ribosomal RNA is filed under the name uncultured bacterium. RNAcentral's name for it is "bacterial SSU rRNA". It matches the Rfam family "Bacterial small subunit ribosomal RNA", at positions 28 to 509 of the family's 1533-position model. The record is from RNAcentral.
GAUGAACGCUAGCGGCAGGCUUAACACAUGCAAGUCGAGGGGUAUAGUUCUUCGGAAUUGGAGACCGGCGCACGGGUGCGUAACGCGUACGCAAUCUACCUUUCACAGAGGGAUAGCCCAGAGAAAUUUGGAUUAAUACCUCAUAGUAUAGCAGUUUCGCAUGAAACCACUAUUAAAGUCACAACGGUGAAAGAUGAGCAUGCGUCCCAUUAGCUAGUUGGUAAGGUAACGGCUUACCAAGGCAACGAUGGGUAGGGGUCCUGAGAGGGAGAUCCCCCACACUGGUGCUGAGACACGGACCAGACUCCUACGGGAGGCAGCAGUGAGGAAUAUUGGACAAUGGGCGCAAGCCUGAUCCAGCCCAUGCCGCGUGCAGGAUGAACGGUCCUAUGGAUUGUAAACUGCUUUUAUACAGGAAGAAACACUACUUCGUGAAGUAGCUUGACGGUACUGUAAGAAUAAGGAUGGCUAACUCCGUGCC